GUCCUCACUUCAGCAGCACAUUUGCCAAAAUUGGAAUGAUACGGAGAAGAUUAGCAGGGCCCCUGCACAAGGAUGACAGCCAAAUUUAUGAUGCAUUCCAUGUUUUU
Small nuclear RNA from Ursus americanus (American black bear), 107 nucleotides. The record is from Ensembl. NCBI's taxonomy places the organism in Eukaryota, Metazoa, Chordata, Mammalia, Carnivora, Ursidae.